Nymphaea colorata (pocket water lily) is the source of this 1458-nucleotide long non-coding RNA. RefSeq lists it as uncharacterized. Lineage: Eukaryota; Viridiplantae; Streptophyta; Magnoliopsida; Nymphaeales; Nymphaeaceae. The transcript has 4 exons. The record is from RefSeq and is a predicted model, not a curated record.
UCUAGAUUAGCCACUCGACACUUUCGGCCAUCUGCCCAGGCAUGGGGUAUCUCACACCACAAGCCAAUGCCAUCCAAAAAAACUCCAAUGUAAUCCCUUAAGGGUCGUUUGGUGGUAACAAGACACGCGAGACAAAACACGCCUAUUUAAUCAUUUUUGUUAUCAAAUCCAUAAUACAAGAUGGACAGAACCGACGAUUGAACAGGAAUACUCCUGUUUUACACUGUUCCGAGCUCACCCUCAAACAGCGUAGACAGGACACCAUUCCCCACCCGAGCUCCCGAGCUGCCCUCGCGUCCCCCUCACCCCCGUCUCUUCCCCUUCUCUCUUAUGAGUCUCCCCCUCGCCUCCACCUCUCCCCCUUCUCUCUUCUCUCUUCGGAGUCUCCCCCUUGCUCCCAUCUCUUCCCCUUCUCUCUUGUGAGUCUCCCCCGCCCUUGUCUCUCCCCCUUCUCUCUUCCUAGCCUCCCCCAGAAAAACACUUGGGGAAAGUAGAGAAAAUGGAAUAAACGCAUCAGACGUGGGAUAAUAGUCCUCGGCGAUUUUGGAAAUGCUUUUCUUGCCCAUCAAGGCUGCUUACUUCUUCAUCGUGGACUCUCACCCCACCGCUUAGUCCUUCCGUCGACGACGACCCUGCGUGGCUGCAUCAGAAGGUGCUGCCAAGGAGGUCGCCAUGACCUCCAUUGCUGCUGAAGAUGUUGCUUCAGAAACUUUUGUUGCUGCAAGGUGCGCGCACUCCCUAAUCUCCUCUCCCCCUUUCUGUAGCGCGCCGCGUUUGGGGCAUCGGGUCGGGUCGAGAUCCGGAUCCGAACCCAAGCUCGUGAGGAGCCCGACGCGAGGGCCCUUCUCCCUCGCGUCUCCCUUUUCUUCCUCGUCGCCUUCUUGCUUCCGUGUCGCCCGUGUGAGACCAGCAAGAGGACGAGGGAGCAGUGGCGACGCUUGAGCCGGCGGAGGAAGGAACGGCGGCGGCAGCGGCGGCGUCGGUGUCGGCAGUUGGCUUGAGGAUUUGUCCUCCCCCUCGUAACAGCAGUUAGAGGAGGCCUUGGUAGUGGAGGCAUUGGAGGAUUUUAGCCGUUUGGGGACCACUUGGGCGCGUGAGGUGGCUGUCGGGAGGAUUACAGCAGUUUAGACCUUCAAUCGGGGUACACCGGGUACGUCCCGUUGACCUUGAGCUACCGGAUUCGAAGCUCGAGGCAUUUUGAAGAUUCUUGUGAACGCGCCACAGGUUUUGGCGGACCCGGGGCAACAGGUUGAGCAGAUGGCUUCACUCACGUCCUACUGGGGUGGUUUUGGGAUUGUCGUUUGUAGUGCCGGCGUGUCAUGUUUUGGUUUUAUUGAUGUCUUCUUUUUGUUAGGCAUCAAUGUUAGUGAUUUUGGGGCAUUUUGGUUAUACACAUAGAUGUGAAUUUGUAUGAAACAAAAUGGUUAUAUCAAUGAAAGUUCGCCCCAUUGUUUUGAA